GCCCGGUUAGCUCAAUCGGUAGAGCGUGAGACUCUUAAUCUCAAGGUUGCGGGUAAGUUCCCACAGUCAAGCA
This is a non-coding RNA of Xylaria bambusicola, 73 nucleotides long. Lineage: Eukaryota; Fungi; Ascomycota; Sordariomycetes; Xylariales; Xylariaceae. The record is from the annotation of a RefSeq genome assembly.